Molecule: long non-coding RNA, 1505 nt
Organism: Halichondria panicea
Lineage: Eukaryota; Metazoa; Porifera; Demospongiae; Suberitida; Halichondriidae
Exons: 4
Source: RefSeq, a predicted model, not a curated record
GCAUGAACUUGAUUAGCCUCCUUCACAACCAACGUACUUAUACUCUUUGUGAAUAUAGACUAAUAGUAUAUAAUAGAAAAGAUGCCAUUAUUGACCAUUGAUCUAUAUAGGUGUGGCCAUCAUUAUAGAUGAAUAGCAUACAUGGUUCCGAUGAUCCGAGCCCUGCACCUCCAGGGAAGCUGUGCCUAGCCCAAUUGAAGUGGACUCUGCUGUGUGGGUAGUGUGCAUGUAGAUCUAAACUUGGAUCCUGUUAAAGAUAUUGAACACACUGAAGAAAUCCAUGCCACCCCAAGACGACGGUGUCAAUGUGGAGAAUACUGUCAUAUUCGUUGUAAUAAAUGUCCCUCCUGUAAGGCCGUUUUUCCACCUUCCAAUAAGAAACUGGCUGUAGGAGAGCCAAGAAAGUAUCCUGCGGAUCUAUUGGCACAACUUCACAAAAAAGGCAAACCAGUUGCACCAACUUGGAUAUGAUGUCUUUAUCGUUACGCAUAGGUAUUCCAAAGUACACACUUAUCAAAGAAUCACUACACCUGCAUGGUGCAGCUAAGGAGUUCAGUCAUAAAUAUGAAAACGUUUUUCAAUUGUGGAAGUCUUACAUGAAUGUGGAACCCAAUACUACCCUAACUAACAGUUCCACCCUCUCUACUAGCCCUAACAGUCAGCCUGCUGCCGACUCUAACAGUGCCCCGACACAGGAAAAUGUUCCCAUCAACACUAACAGUUCCACCCCAGGGGCGGAUCCAGGAUUUAAGGAAGGGGGGUUCUUAUAGUACUUCUUGUCCGCACAAAGCGCGGGAGAGAUGGUUGUGACUGGAGGAGAGAUAGUAGUGGUCCCCAGUGGAAAGACAGACGGUGGUGGCUGGUGAAGAGGAGACUUGGCUAUAUAUAUAGACUUGUAGAACUUGACCAUCAAUAUAUUAAUGAGGGCAAUUAUACAUGUAACUGUAAGUAUGCAGUGUCAUUCAAUAUGCAGUGUCAUGCACUCUCCCUUACCUGAAACUUUCCUCUUCUUACACCAGGAGUCAAGGAUUCAUGGCUAGAUAUAAUAAUAUUAUCGCUUGACCACGGUGCAAAUCAAUGUGGCUGCAGUAGCCAGCCCCACCCUCUUGUUAUGUAGAGAGAACCAGCCCCACCCUUUUAUUAUGCAAAGAGAACCAGCCCCACCCUUUUAUUAAGCAGAGAGCUUUGUACGACUUUGUCACGACAGUACAGUUAGUUAGCUAGCUAGCUAAUAUAUACUAGCUGGAAGGGUAGUUCGUACAAACCCAACGAACUACCUCUGGAUCCCCCCCUGCACCCUCUCUACUAGCCCUACCAGCUGCAGUCAGCCUGCUGCUGCUGUCUCUAACAGUGUCCCGACACAGGCAACAGUUACUGUCUUCACUACCACCCUAACUGAUAGAAAGAAACGUCGUCGUUGCGGUGUCUGCGAUGGGUGCCGACAUCCUAAUUGUGCAUGGUACAUGCCCAAUAUGCUUAAAUCAGAAAUGGAAAAAGGCAUGUUU